This 579-nucleotide ribosomal RNA is filed under the name Crenosoma striatum. RNAcentral's name for it is "eukaryotic LSU rRNA". It matches the Rfam family "Eukaryotic large subunit ribosomal RNA", at positions 398 to 910 of the family's 3401-position model. Lineage: Eukaryota; Metazoa; Nematoda; Chromadorea; Rhabditida; Crenosomatidae. The record is from RNAcentral.
CGUGAAAUCGUUGAAGUGGAACCGGAGAGAGUUGACGUAGUAUGGUGGAUAAGUAUUGCAAGAAUCGCUUCAAACAAUGAAUGUGAUCGAGUAAUAUGUACGUCACCAAAGACUGCGCUGACAGCAUCGACUACACGCUCUGAACUGUGUUGACAUGUUGCCUAUUCUAGUAUAUAGAAUGGUGUCUUGUGUUACGUGGUGAAGUUUGUUGUUAUGUUGUUGAUGUUGAUAAUUAUGAUUAUACAUCGAGUAUAAUUAUGUCAGUGUAAAAGUCAACCACCUCUCCGACCCGUCUUGAAACACGGACCGAGGAGUGUAACUUGUACGCGAGUCAUUGGGUGGAAAAACCUUAAGGCGAAACGAAAGUGAAGGCACGGUUAACCGGCUGACAUGGGAAACGUGCGGUAUUGUUAGCGAGACGUUACACCAUGGCCCUGUCUUGUCUGCAUGCAGAUGGGCAGCGGUAGAGCGUACAGGUUGCGACCCGAAAGAUGGUGAACUAUGCCUGAGCAGGACGAAGUCAGAGGAAACUCUGGUGGAAGUCCGUAUCGGUUCUGACGUGCAAAUCGAUCGAUAGAC